This 253-nucleotide ribosomal RNA is filed under the name uncultured bacterium. RNAcentral's name for it is "partial 16S ribosomal RNA". It matches the Rfam family "Bacterial small subunit ribosomal RNA", at positions 524 to 776 of the family's 1533-position model. The record is from RNAcentral.
UACGUACGGUGCGAGCGUUAAUCGGAAUUACUGGGCGUAAAGCGUGCGUAGGCGGUCCCGCAAGUCCGCUGUGAAAGCCCCGAGCUUAACUUGGGAACUGCAGUGGAAACUAUGGGACUUGAAUCCGGCAGAGGGGGGUGGAAUGCCACGUGUAGCAGUGAAAUGCGUAGAGAUGUGGCGGAACACCGAUGGCGAAGGCAGCCCCCUGGGCUGAGAUUGACGCUCAGGCACGAAAGCGUGGGGAGCAAACAGG